Molecule: ribosomal RNA, 241 nt
Filed under: uncultured bacterium
Lineage: Bacteria
Description: partial 16S ribosomal RNA
Rfam family: Bacterial small subunit ribosomal RNA
Source: RNAcentral
AAGCGGCGGACGGGUGAGUAACGCGUGGGUAACCUACCCUGUACACACGGAUAACAUACCGAAAGGUAUGCUAAUACGGGAUAAUAUAUUUGAGAGGCAUCUCUUAAAUAUCAAAGGUGAGCCAGUACAGGAUGGACCCGCGUCUGAUUAGCUAGUUGGUAAGGUAACGGCUUACCAAGGCGACGAUCAGUAGCCGACCUGAGGGGGUGAUCGGCCACAUUGGAACUGAGACACGGUCCAA